This 73-nucleotide transfer RNA is filed under the name Chloracidobacterium sp. RNAcentral describes it as "tRNA-His". It matches the Rfam family "tRNA". From Rfam's summary of the family: Transfer RNA (tRNA) molecules are approximately 80 nucleotides in length. Their secondary structure includes four short double-helical elements and three loops (D, anti-codon, and T loops). Further hydrogen bonds mediate the characteristic L-shaped molecular structure. tRNAs have two regions of fundamental functional importance: the anti-codon, which is responsible for specific mRNA codon recognition, and the 3' end, to which the tRNAs corresponding amino acid is attached (by aminoacyl-tRNA synthetases). tRNAs cope with the degeneracy of the genetic code in two manners: having more than one tRNA (with a specific anti-codon) for a particular amino acid; and 'wobble' base-pairing, i.e. permitting non-standard base-pairing at the 3rd anti-codon position. Lineage: Bacteria; Pseudomonadati; Acidobacteriota; Blastocatellia; Chloracidobacteriales; Chloracidobacteriaceae. The record is from RNAcentral.
GCGGGUGUAGCUCAGGCGGAAGAGCGUCUGACUGUGGAUCAGAUAGUCGCCGGUUCGAGUCCGGCCACUCGCC